RNAcentral lists this ribosomal RNA (253 nucleotides) under uncultured bacterium. RNAcentral's name for it is "partial 16S ribosomal RNA". It matches the Rfam family "Bacterial small subunit ribosomal RNA", at positions 524 to 776 of the family's 1533-position model. The record is from RNAcentral.
UACGUAGGGUGCGAGCGUAAUCGGAAUUACUGGGCGUAAAGCGUGCGCAGGCGGUCUGUUAAGACCGAUGUGAAAUCCCCGGGCUUAACCUGGGAACUGCAUUGGUGACUGGCAGGCUUUGAGUGUGGCAGAGGGAGGUAGAAUUCCACGUGUAGCAGUGAAAUGCGUAGAGAUGUGGAGGAAUACCGAUGGCGAAGGCAGCCUCCUGGGCCAACACUGACGCUCAUGCACGAAAGCGUGGGGAGCAAACAGG